Molecule: ribosomal RNA, 326 nt
Filed under: uncultured bacterium
Lineage: Bacteria
Description: bacterial SSU rRNA
Rfam family: Bacterial small subunit ribosomal RNA
Source: RNAcentral
GAUGAACGCUGGCGGCGUGCCUAACACAUGCAAGUCGAACGAAGCGCUGGGAGCGGAACAUUUCGGUGGGAAGCAUCCAAUGACUGAGUGGCGGACGGGUGAGUAACGCGUGGGUAACCUGCCUCAUACAGGGGGAUAACAGCCAGAAAUGACUGCUAAUACCGCAUAAGCGCACGGAACCGCAUGGUUUUGUGUGAAAAACUCCGGUGGUAUGAGAUGGACCCGCGUCUGAUUAGCUAGUUGGCGGGGUAACGGCCCACCAAGGCAGCGAUCAGUAGCCGGCCUGAGAGGGUGGACGGCCACAUUGGGACUGAGACACGGCCCAA